RNAcentral lists this long non-coding RNA (586 nucleotides) under Canis lupus dingo (dingo). Its description in RNAcentral is "lncRNA (ENSCAFG00020006278.1)". Lineage: Eukaryota; Metazoa; Chordata; Mammalia; Carnivora; Canidae. The record is from RNAcentral.
CCGCCGCCGCCGCCCUGCUUAGCUCCUAUCCGGCCGCAGAUGGAAGCAGGAGAGGAUUCUUCUCAAGGUCCGUGAACCCAGAAUUCGGUUAAGUCUGUAAACCAACUAAAUUAACGUGCCAAGAAUUCGUGGAUGUUUGGAACUCAAAAUAAAAAUCAGGACGCAAGAUGGUCCCGGGAUAAAACGCUACUGACCAAACACUGGCAAGUUAAACUAGCUGUGGUGUUGAUACACUGAAUUAAAAUUCAAAUAAAACACGUGAAGACAGCAAAUCGUUUUAAAGUUACAAGCUAAAACUGUAAAAGGGACCAACAACUGUGUAGGCGGAGCAAAUGACAGACUGUAGUACAACCGGAAUGCUUAACACUCCAUGAAUGGAAUUGGAGAUUUCAAGACAGAUGUUUUUGAGGGAGAAAGCCUUUGGGAUUCAGAUUCUUGAAGCUUCUGUUUCUGCGAAGAAACCAUCCCUAUCCUUCACUUUUCACCUUGCAGUCAUUUCUUCCCAGGAGCUGUUUCUAUUUCUGCAAGAAAGGGAAAAAUGUAAGGAGACACUAUUCAUCUAAUCCUCUAUUAGAGGUAUAGUAAU